Molecule: long non-coding RNA, 31336 nt
Filed under: Fragaria vesca (wild strawberry)
Lineage: Eukaryota; Viridiplantae; Streptophyta; Magnoliopsida; Rosales; Rosaceae
Description: long non-coding RNA (FVES_LNC001789)
Source: RNAcentral
CUCAAAUGGCGGUGGCUUUCGCAGCCAUAGUUGUUGUCUUCUCCACUAAUGUGGCUUCAGUUCAGGCUGAUCAUCCUUACUUGUACUCCUCACCCCCUCCUCCUUAUGUCUACAGCUCCCCACCGCCCCCUGUUCACUCUCCUCCACCUCCUUAUGUCUACAAGUCACCUCCCCCACCAUCGCCUUCACCACCUCCUCCUUACGUCUACAAGUCACCUCCCCCACCAUCGCCUUCUCCUCCACCACCGUACGUCUACAAGUCUCCUCCACCUCCCUCACCUAAAUUGCCUCCGUACGAGUACAAGUCACCACCACCUCCAUCACCUUCUCCCCCACCACCAUAUGUCUACAAAUCACCACCUCCACCAUCACCUUCUCCUCCACCGCCUUACUACUACAAGUCUCCUCCACCUCCGGUACAUUCUCCACCACCACCAUACUACUACAAAUCUCCUCCACCUCCUGUACAUUCACCACCACCACCUUACUACUACAAAUCUCCUCCACCCCCAGUACAUUCUCCCCCACCACCUUACUAUUACAAAUCUCCUCCACCCCCAGUACAUUCUCCACCACCACCUUACUACUAUAAGUCUCCUCCUCCUCCUUCUCCCUCACCACCACCACCAUACUACUACAAAUCCCCUCCUCCACCUUCCCCAACUCCUCAUGCACCAUACUACUACAAGUCUCCUCCACCGCCGUCACCAAAACCUUACAUGUACAAGUCUCCUCCACCACCAUCCCCAAAACCUUACAUGUAUAAGUCUCCUCCACCACCAUCACCAAAGCCUUACAUGUAUAAGUCUCCUCCACCACCAUCCCCAAAGCCUUACGUGUACAAGUCUCCCCCGCCACCGUCACCAAAGCCGUACGUCUACAAGUCUCCACCACCACCCUCUCCCAAACCGUACGUGUACAAGUCUCCACCACCACCAUCGCCAAAGCCUUACUACUACCAGUCUCCUCCUCCACCGGCUCCUUACUAUCCUCACCCAUACCCACACCCACACCACCACCCAUUGAUCGUCAAGGUCGUCGGAAAGGUCUACUGCUACAGAUGCUACGACUGGGGAUAUCCAAUCAAGUCCCACGACAAGAAACACCUCAAAGGUAAUUAAUUCCGUAACAUACAUUCUCUUGAUUAGUUAUUGUAUUGGUUUUGCUGCUGCUGUUCUUCAUUUUCUAAGAAAGAGAUGUUUUUUCAUAUCCGAUCUGGCCACUGUGCCUUGUUCUUCUUUACAAAAUAAUUAUAAUUUCAUGGCGGCUUAAUCAAUCAAACCCAUGUUCCAUACAUAUGCAAAAUAUUAAUUUUCUUGUAGUGCUGAAUGUGUUGUAUUUGCUAUANNNNNNNNNNNNNNNNNNNNUCUAUAUAUAUAUAUAUAUAUAUUUUUUUUUAAUAUGUAUUCCAAUUCCAAUAAAAUUCCUUUUAGCUAGCUGUCCAAUGUCCAUCUCCAAAAAGAAAAGCAUCUUGUCCUUUUCAGUUUUAAGGAUUUGGAAAAUUCAGUGACUUUGAUCAUAGAAGUGAUAGCAAGAAUCAAUUAGUUAGUGAUUAAGGUAAUAUUAAUUAGUUAGAUUGGUCUGAAAAUGAUUGUUAUUAUUUUAAAUGAAAUGAUCUAAUAUUUAACUGUAAAUGGAACAGGUGCUGUUGUUGAGAUCACAUGCUGGGCAGGCAAGAAGGAGGUCAAGGCCUACGGUAAAACAAAGAACAAUGGUAAAUUCAGCAUCGCAGUCGAAGACUUUGACUACGGUAAAUAUGGUGCCAAGGCAUGUACCGCGAAGCUCCACAUGGCACCCGAGGGUUCCUUGUGCAGCAUUCCAACUCCGCUCAAUUGGGGCAACAAGGGUGCCAAGCUGAAGGUCAAGUCCAAGAACAAGUGGGAGGUUGUGCUCAAGGCCAAGCCAUUUGCUUUUGCUCCCAAGACUGCUUACAAGGAGUGUGCCAAGCACGCGCCACACCAUCCUUCUCCCUACGUCUACAAGUCGCCGCCUCCGCCAACCCCGACUUACGUCUACAAGUCUCCUCCUCCACCAACUCCGACUUACGUCUACAAGUCUCCUCCUCCACCGUCGCCUAAGUACGUUUACAAGUCACCGCCAUCACCGGCCUACUACUACAAGUCACCACCACCGCCAUCUCCAAAGCCGUACGUGUACAAGUCACCACCACCGCCAUCUCCAAAGCCGUACGUGUACAAGUCUCCACCACCACCAUCNNNNNNNNNNNNNNNNNNNNNNNNNNNNNNNNNNNNNNNNNNNNNNNNNNNNNNNNNNNNNNNNNNNNNNNNNNNNNNNNNNNNNNNNNNNNNNNNNNNNNNNNNNNNNNNNNNNNNNNNNNNNNNNNNNNNNNNNNNNNNNNNNNNNNNNNNNNNNNNNNNNNNNNNNNNNNNNNNNNNNNNNNNNNNNNNNNNNNNNNNNNNNNNNNNNNNNNNNNNNNNNNNNNNNNNNNNNNNNNNNNNNNNNNNNNNNNNNNNNNNNNNNNNNNNNNNNNNNNNNNNNNNNNNNNNNNNNNNNNNNNNNNNNNNNNNNGCCAUCUCCUCCUCCACCAUACCACUACACCUCCCCACCUCCACCUUCUCCAUCUCCUCCCCCACCAUACGCUUACAAGUCUCCACCACCUCCUUCACCCUCUCCUCCUCCUCCAUACGUCUACAAGUCACCUCCACCUCCGGUGAAAUCUCCUCCACCACCGGUGUACAUUUACGCCUCUCCCCCACCUCCCACUCACUACUAGGCUCAAACACGUGCAUAGACCAAUCAUGUAAGUCGUCGAAUUUAGUCUCUGUUUUUGUUUUCACUUUAUUAAUUACCAAUGUAACAUUUUAAUCUAAACUUACUAAUUAACAAUGUAAUUGCAGGUUUUAAUUUAAGCAGCAGAAUAAAGGAAGGCUCCAUGAGCCGAAAGCAGAGACACCAAGCUUCCAAUCCAAGUCCAUUGUUGUCGACGGUGAAGAACAAGGGUCUGGCAGAAACAUCAGCCAUGACCAGCAACCUCAUCUUCCACAUGCUCUUACUAUACUCAUCAUCCAAAUCGGGAAUUUAAAGCAUUCAUCUUGGUCUUGGAAGGAACUAAUAAUUUGGCUUGGUCGUCUCAGUGUCGUCAUUUUUUCAUUUCUAAAUUAUAUUUCAUUGUAUAGGGUAGCAGUUACAUGGCCUUUUUUUUUUUUUUUCAAUUGUAUGAUUGGCUUCUAUUUAUUGUGAGGAUAAAUGUUUCUUUAGGCAUUCACUGAAUUAUUUAUCAAUAAAAAUGAUGAAUUACUUUCACUCUGUCUUCUACUAUCUGGCUUCAUAUCUAGCUAGCUUUUUGGUAGUGCUCUUCGAUUUCAUUUGCUUGGCUUUUCUGUCCCCUUUAUUCCAAGGGUAUAAGUGCCCUCAAAUACAUAUGACAAUGCAGAUAGGGUUCACAAAUCACAAAGUGGGCAGCAAAAUGAAUUUCAAGUUGAGUGGAUUGUGGGGUUUAUGACACAAUUUGUCGUCAACUUGGAAGCAGCGUUUCGAGGAUCAAAUUCCAUAUAUAGUUAGGCGGCUGCUGCUGCUGCAUGCCAUGAUUGACAAACUUGAAGCACUGCCAAGCAAAAAGAUUGAUAUAUAAGAACAAACAAAGAAAGAAUGACUCAACAACUCCCCUAGCCUGAUGGUUGCAAUCACAGCCCCAAUUGCAUGUUUUGAAUCUUAAUAGAUAAUUUUAUAUAUAAUACGUUUUGAAGAUGAUGAACCUACCAUAAUAAUGUAGGUUGUAUUAAAGUGUUUAGUUUGUCAUUUCUUCUUUCAUCGGAAAAGAAAGGAGACUACGUACUUAGAUGAAUAUCAUGGAGUUCAUGCAGUAAACCCUGUUCUUUUUUUGGCAUUUUCUUUUCUUCUCGCAUAUAUGUAGUGGUGAAAGAAGUAAUUAGAUACCUUGUGAUGAAUAAGUUACAACAUGUUCAAGUUAAAAGUGAUUCAAAACAAACAUAUCACAUCACUCGUUUUAUUUUUGUUAUCUGAUAAUCAAGUUUUGUUAGUCUUCUUAUGUUGCGCACAUAUAUUUUUGCAUAUGAAGGUACCUCUGUCGCGCAGCUGGUCAUGUACAAACUAAUUAUUCCGAUUUUCAAAUCAUGCAUGAGCCUCCGUUUUUUUUCCUUCAUUCAUUUCUGCUUUUAAUUUUAGGGGAGUGAAAUCCAUACUCCUAAAAUUGUAAUUCAUAUUUUCACUUUCUAUUUUUGGUAACUUAACUUUUGUCCUUAGCAAAUUAAAUUUUGUCUUCUUAUGAGAAUGAUGAUUAAAAAUGAAAAAUGGGAGUGUGAAUUUCAAUUUGGGGAGGUAAAUUUUUCUUUCUAAUUUUAAAAUGAAUACAAGAGUUGUCAAUUGUACAAAUAAUCAAACCUAAAAUACAAGAGCAAUUGAAAUUACCCCCAAAUCAUAUAAGCUACAAUAAUAAUCAGAUCUUAAUUUUGCAGAAAACGAACCUAAAUUAAUUGAACUAAAGAUGAAGAAAGAUACAUAGGACGAAGAAGAAAGAAAACUUAAUUGAAGAUGGGAGGUGGAACAUAACUGCUGAAGAUGGGAAGUAGAGAGAGAGCGAUAACCUCAAACACGGUUCGUGGGAUAUGCCGUCAUGCCGUGAGAGACUGAGAGAUAACAGUUUAGAAAGUAGGGUUUAGGGUUAUCUAUGACUGUUUAUUUUUAUUUUUAUUUUUACUUUUUAAUUAGCGCCUUAAUUUUCUUUUUUCAACUGAAACAUCCCGCUUCUUCUGAAGCUCCCUUUCUCUAAUCCUAUCUUGUAAAAUUAUGGUUUUGUCUAUGUACUCUGACGAAAGCAACUAGAUCUACUAUGAGGGUUAAAUGGGAUAUUUUAGUCUAAAUAACUUGGUGCCUUAAAAUUAAUGCACAAUGUACAUAUAUAAUGCUCAAACCAACUUGGGAAUGAUAGUUGUUUGGAAUGACUGCUAAUUGUAUAUAAGCUUAAUUCUUUUAGGGUACAUAUAUGGAGGCGGAUGAGAUUGGUUAAUGGGGAAUGAUAUUCUUCUUGUCCUUUCGAGGAGAUAUCAUGUUAAUGGGGAAUUAUCAUAGUCAUGAUCGAGUAAUAUCUAGCUAAGGUGGAAUACCCGGUCGAGGCAGGAAAAUCUUGUCAAAGUGGACUAGAUGAAGCUGAAAUAUAUCUCAUUCAAGGUAAAAAUCUAGUCAAGCUAGGCCAGAUAUUGGUCAAGGCGAAAUAUCUAGUUCAGAUGUACAUAGGUUAGAAUAAGUAAUUCCCUAAAUUACAAUAUGUAUUAGGAGAAUAUCUAAUCUCCUCAAAUCGAAUUUGUGUGAUGAAUACUCCCUUUGUUGAAAAUCCAAGUCAUGGAAUCCAAGUUUGGAGAAAUCUCAAACCUCGAUCAUCAGCAUUUCUUUUGAGGAAAAUCUGAGUGAGGCGUGCAAAAUCCAUGUGAGGAAAAAUGUGUAGAUCAAGGUGAGUAACAUUCUCUUCGAUCUUAGCGAGAAGUUGAAUCCAAGGAAUGAAAAAUUCUCUCAAGACGAAUAUGAAUGAGGAGAAUGCAUCAUGGAGAUUUUAGCAAAAGAAAACUAAAUUGAUGAUUGAAGAACUGGAUCAAGCUUCUUAAGAUCGGACUAUCUAGAGAAUGAUCAAGUCUUAGGCUUACUUAAGUUUAGUAGGUAAUAUGUAAGUGUAAAUCAACUAUAUCAAAGAAAUAAUAUUUGUGAAAACUGCCCAUAAGAUAUGUGAUCAACAUAAUGAAGUACGACUAUGAGGUCCCUUAUACAAAACACUCGUAAUCUCUUUUACUAAAAAAAGUAAAAAGCAAAAAGACGAAAUGAAAAUUCCCUAAACCCACUAUUCAUAAAAAGAAAGAAAAAAACCCUAAACUCUAAACUCUAAAUCCUAAACUCCAACCUCUAAACCAAAAAAAGAAAAAGAAACAAACCCAUAUCUUAUUUUUUUUUCCUUUGAUAAUGUACAAAACCCAGAUACUCUUCCCAUAUUAAAAGAAGAACAAACCCAGAAUUGGACAAGAUUCAAGCCUUCAAGGUAUCCGUUCAUCGGCAACGCGAGAAAGGAAUUCGUAAGUCUCAAGAGAAUUACCGGUUAUAUAACAUCUGGUUUGUUACUGCACCAAGGUAAAAUUAUGAAGAUAAAUAUAAUUGUAAUAAAUAGACAACCAAAGAUAUGAUUGUCAUAGCUUUUUUAUGUAACUACCCGUUUUACAUACGAGAAAUUUUAAAUACACACCCCUAAUAUCUUAAUACACACACCUUGCUUAAUACACCACCUAUCAAUUUUUUCAUUUCAGUAUUAUACUUAAUACACAUCCCAAACUGUCUAAAAUACCCUUAAUUUAUGAAAUAUUCUAUUAUUUAAUAUAAUUAAUAUAUGUACUAUUUGGUGCCUUUUUUUACAUAUUAUUUCGUCUAAUUUUUGCUAAAAAAUUUUGGCUAUCAUUGUUCAAUGUAUAAUCAAAUGAUUAUUGUUAUAUCCCAACUCCAAAUCACCAAUACAAAUUUUCAAAAUUCACAAGCUAGUAGAACUGUAGAAGUAAAGUAGCCAAUAAACAUAGCUAGCUAGUUAUUUGAUAAAACAUGUCAUGAUAGAUGUAGUACAUGACAAUAUGAUAUGCAAGAUUAAAAUAAAGCUGAUACUGAUAAAAUAAAAUAUAAAAUAAAAAAAGAUAACCCAAAUGAAUUGUGGAGAAGAGUUGGAGUUAGGGGAGAAGACGUGUUUUCGACGAUUUUAGGGUAGAAGAUUGAAAAGAAUACUUCCAGCGUGAUUUUUUUUUUUUAAUAAUAGAUGUUUGUUUUGGUCAUUUAGCUUACCUAUAAAAUCUCAAUAGAAACAUAAAAUAAUAGAGAUGUGUAUUAAGAGAUUAAGAGUGUGUAUUUAAAAUUUCUCUUUACAUACACAUUGAAAUCAACAUUAGUUUAAAAGGGUAAACAAGUGAAAUAAGGAAGCACAUCACCUGUGCCCAUUCCCGUUAUGCCUAAUAUGUGCCAUCAAAUAAAAAACUGACACAUGAAAUUCCACUCAGCACAACUUAACAGAGUUAGUUUCAGUUAACUUUGAUUAAUUUUAGUUUUUUACUUAAAUAAAAAAACAAGGACUGCGCAUUUCCUCCUUCCUUUCAAACUUCUUCUUCACAUUGCCAAAAAAAAAAAAAAAAANNNNNNNNNNNNNNNNNNNNNNNNNNNNNNNNNNNNNNNNNNNNNNNNNNNNNNNNNNNNNNNNNNNNNNNNNNNNNNNNNNNNNNNNNNNNNNNNNNNNNNNNNNNNNNNNNNNNNNNNNNNNNNNNNNNNNNNNNNNNNNNNNNNNNNNNNNNNNNNNNNNNNNNNNNNNNNNNNNNNNNNNNNNNNNNNNNNNNNNNNNNNNNNNNNNNNNNNNNNNNNNNNNNNNNNNNNNNNNNNNNNNNNNNNNNNNNNNNNNNNNNNNNNNNNNNNNNNNNNNNNNNNNNNNNNNNNNNNNNNNAAAAAAAAAAAAAAAACUUCUCCUUCUCCUGUUCAUCGUAUGUCUUUCGAUCUCCUUCUGUCUUCCUAUUACUUUCCAGCAUUCUUCCCCUUUUCUAUUCUCUCCUGUUAGUUUAUUGGAUAGAGAAAGCAAUAUUUUCAUUUAAUAAAAACAACCCUGUAUCUGCAAAUCAGACCGUAAUUGCCGUCCCGAUCCUCAAACCCACAUGCAUCUUGCUCAAUCGUGUUGGCGGACUUGAUCGAAUUCAAGUUCUCAAUGUCGAGACCCACAUGGUUAUCAUUCGGCUCGUCGUAGAGUAAAUCGAUCCGGAUAUGGAAUUCGACGGCGAGGACUUGUUCUUCAUCUUCAGGGAGGAGUUGAUUGCCUGAAAAAUCAGACCGGGUUGUUGUAGAUAGACGGUGCCGGUUGGAGAGGGAGCUAAGGGGUGAGACCAACGACGGCGGAGGAAGAAGAGGGAGAAGAGAGAGAAAGCAAGAGGCUUUAUUGGGUUCAAGAUGUGACGUAACUACCUCUAAGCUCUCUAGUCUAUACUGAUGAGUGAUGAUGGCAAUAUGAUGACUAGUUCUGGGUUCAUGAAUUCUGGAACAGUGAUUGCUAAAGAGUUGAAGGGUUGGAGUUUUGCUGAGAGGGUUUAUGAAAAUAAUUUUUCACGUUAACAAAGUCUAAUUCUGUUAAGUCUUGUUUGAGUGGAGUUCUAUGUGUCAGGUUUCUAUUGGUGGCACAUAUUGGGCAUAGGGAAAAAGGGCACAGGUGAUGUGCUUCCGUGGAAUAAGAUGAUAUAAUUAGGGUGCGGUUAUUUUUACCCCACUAAAUGCUCAGUUCACCCCACCUCACAUCUUAUAUUUUACUUUCAACGUUCCAAUUCUGCUCUUAAAUUUUGUGGUUUUUAUUUUUUUCUUUUUAUUUUCCUAAAUCUGAUAAAAUAUAAAAAUAUAUACAAAUAUAUCAUCAAUAUAUUUGAUGUAGACCUCUAUUUUUCUCAAACCGCAUCCUAUAUAUAUUCNNNNNNNNNNNNNNNNNNNNCAAAUCUGAUUUGAAAGAUGUAGAGAAUUUUUUUUUUUUUUCCGAUGUAAAGAUGUAGAGAAUUGUUGUUGUUUGGAUUUUAUAGAUUUUAGUUUAAUAUUAUAUUUUCACAAAAAUUCUUGAUUAUGGGGUUAAUAUUGGAAUAUUUAGUUUAAAAUUGAAAUGUGGGGUGAACAAAAUAUUUGGUGGGGUGACAAUAACUGCACCCUAUAAUUAUUUCCUCGCAAAUUGGUUAUUUUGACGAGGAAAUAAUUUCUCGCAUAAUAUAGACUUUUAGUGAGGAAACCCUACUUUUGUCGCCAUAUAGUUUGGUGGGUCUUGCACAGUUUUCCGUCAAACUAAUAACUAGGAAACAAUCAUUUCCUCGCUAAUUGGUUCUUUUGACGAGGAAAUAAUUUCUCGCAGAAUAUAGACUUUUAACAAGGAACCUAGCGGGUCUUGCAUAGUUUUCCGCCAAACUAAUAACGAGAAAAAAAUCAUUUCCUCACUAAUUGGUUAUUUUGACGAGGAAAUAAUUUCUCGUAGAAUAUAGGCUUUUAGCGAGGAAACCUUACUUUUGUCACCAUAAGGCAUAAAGUUUAGCGGGUCUCCCACUAUUUUCCGCCAAAAAAACAAUGACGAAAUCGUGAUUUCCUCGUUACAUGUUUAUUUUGCGAUGAAAAAUUUCCUCACCAAAAUCUCAUAUUUCCUCGCUAAUAACAUGACGAAUCAGGAGACCAAAUUAUGAUCAUCUUUAGUGAGGAACUAAAGUUUUCGUCAUAGAAAGUGGUUUAUUGUGAGGAAAAUAUGUUUCUCGUAGAAAACCUAAUGAUAUUUAGUGAGGAACCAAUUUAUUCCUCGUUAAAAGUGGCAUUUAUUGAGGAAAAUAAAUUCCUUGUAGAAAACUUGAUCGCUACAGAGUUUUUUGUUGUAGUGUCUCUAGAUGCAUAAAACAUAUGUUUGUUCUAUAUUUUUUUUUUUGAUGACAAAAAUGAAAUACAAAAAUGCAAUAACACAAAUUCUCUAGAUACUCCCCCACCUAACUGAUCCAAAUGGAACACUUGGGACACAAAAAGGGGGAGGCAGUUGUGCCAAACUGCAACAAAACGAUCAUGUAGAUCAUAAUUAGCAAUUCUAUCGGCUACAAAAAUUUCUCAAAAUAUAUGUAUAAACUGAACAAAAGAGAAAUAAGUAGCUCGCUUCUGGAUAUCCUUAACCAGAAUUGGAAGAGCAUAGCAGAGUUAUAUAUCGAAUGCAGUAGCAAGAUUGGAAGAGUAUGAGCGUUGUAUCAAAACUUGACUAGUACAAGUGUGCAGCAGCAAGAUUAUAUGCGAAUUUGAAUUAGAAAAAUUAAUUAAUACUUAAUUAUUUAUGUGCGAAGGCUAAAAUUGUAAAUGUAUUAUUGACACAUAACGAAAUAAAUAUAACUUAUCCUUAUUUGUAAGACUGUGUCCAUAUAAGUUGGGAAUCAAAAGCCAUGUCCUUCUUUGUGUAUUUAAUAUUUUUCAAGGGCAUAUAUCUAGUUUGCUAAAUUAUUUUACUAUACGAUUGUUUCGAUAUUCCUAUAUAUAUAUAGUUCGUAUAUAUUGCUAGCUAGCUGAACGUUGCAUUUUUGCCUUAAUGACGCGUUUGAUGGUCUACCUUUAUGGUAAACCUGUCUUGGCCCUAUACGUUAGUUUUUUUUUUUUUUUUUUUUUUUUUUCUACCAUUAUGGUGUGACGGAUGAUUUACUAUAAUUGUAAACCUGCCGUAGCCCUGUAUGAAGAUACAAGGCACAAUAUAACACCAUCUUUUCUCCUUAAUUGCGUGGUGGAUGGUUUACCUAUAUGGUAAACUGUCGUAGCCCUAUACGAGAGUCUUUUCAGGCAUUAUGACGUGGUCGAUGGUUUACCCUCAUGGUAAACCUGCCGUAGCCUUAUGGCCCGCGACUGCGUCGAUUAACAAAUCAGCUACCGGCAUGGGGUAUAUGUCUUUAGGCGUCGCAUUGUUGAGGUCCCAAUAGUAGACGCAAACACACAUUUUUCCAUUCUUCUUACGGAUUGGGAACACAUUGGACAACCAUUCGAUAUACUUUGCAAUGCAAAUGAUUCCUGAUCGGUACAUGUUUUCGACCACUUCUUUCACGGUGAUCUGGGUUUCGACUCGCAUGAAUCGCCAGUCUUGUUGUACUGGUCGCCAGUCAGGGAAGGUAAGGAGCCGAUGGCAUACCCAUUCUGUUGCAAGGCCGGACAUGUCCUCAUAUCUCUCUGUAAAGUAGUCUUUGAACUCGCUUAACAGAGUAAGGAGCGGCUCACGUUCCUCUUCUGUCAAUUUGGCGCUAAUGGAUAUGACUAAGGGUUUCUCCUCAGUCCCAAUAUUAACCUGCUCAAUUGAGUGACGUACCUGUGGUGGUGUAUCGUCUAAAGCGGCAGGAGCCAAUUGGAUAGGCUCUUCUUCAUGAUUAUCGUUGUAGUCAACCACCUCAUCAACAUACUCCAAAGUCACGACCUUGUUAUAGGCCUCAUGUUCUGCCCAGUACGAAAGUAAUAUUCUCUCGUAGAGCGACUCGCCGACCUCGUGUACCUCCUUAGAAGAGGCAUUAUCCAUCGGAUGGUUUGGAUGAACUUGCGAUGGUGCAAGGACAUUGAAUGUCGUCCUUUACUUCGGUUAUACCCCAUCGCGCUAAGCUAGAUGUCGUCACCCCAAAAGGGCGGCCUUUCUGAUCAACCCCAGUAACAUCCAGGGGGCCCAAGUCACUGCGGUAGAAAUGGGCGUCAUUGAAAUUGGCGGACACCGAAAAAGAUCGCGGGUCAGCCUUGAUGACCUCAGCCGUGUCCUUCUCAAAAUCUCAAAUGAUCAACUCUUGGUGCAUGGACGAAGGCACAAAAAAACUUCUAUGAAUCCAAUCAUGACCCAAGAUGAUCUUGUAAGACGUAUUGCAUUCCGCAGCAAAGAAGGUAUAGACCCAGGACGAAGGGCUUACUUUGACCUGUAAGAACAGGAGCCCUAGGGUUCUUGCAACCGAACCAGAAAAAUUCUUCACAGUGAGAGAAGUCACAUGGAUCAUCGACUGUUGUAUUCCAAGGAGUCCCAUAGUGCAAGUUGUGAUGCCGUUGAUUAUGGCACCGGUAUCAAUCAUGACUUUAUUGGCCAUGAUCCCUUCAAUCUCAACGGUGAUGUACAAAGGCCGUAUGUGAGUGGUCAUGUCCAAUGUUGGUUUUGUGAAAGUCAUUGUUUGCUUAUGCUUGACAAUGUGAGUGACUUCCACUUGAGGGGUCUCCUCUUAUUCGAGCGAUAGUAUGGGUUUUCUAAUACAAUGGGACGACCCAACGUCUUCAUUGCCCCCUGGCGCCUCAACUGCAUGACAAGUAGUGCUCGACGGAAGGGCAUAUUUCUUGGAGAUGAAGAACAUCAUUCCAUAAUGGAAAGCAAAAGGUUCUUGCUCGCCUGGUAUGGAUAGUUCAGGUACGUAGUCCAACUCUGUUUCUCAGUCAUAAAGAGCGGUAAAGACUUUUGGCAAAGCCCCCUCAUCUCCAUCCUCAAGACCCUCUAAAUGGAGCAUGUUGUAACUGAAUGCGUCAUCUUGUCCGUCUUCCUGGUCCUCGUUAAUGUCAACGCGGGGCUUAGUAUCUAAAUUAAUUAAAGGCGAAGAAAUCUCGCGGAACUUCUGCGCCAUUUGCUGCACCAAGUUUCCUUCCGUAGAAGUAGACACCGCUACCAGACUUGGCUCAGCCACCAUUGUCUGUACUAUGACGAUGUUCAAUCGCUUGGGGAACCAUUCUUGCUUAGUGGAGGAACAUUUAUCCUUAGGUUCUGCCGCCUGCCUGUCUGUUGUCUUGCAACUAGCGUCCCCAGUGUUGCCCCUAGUCGUUGAAACAAGGAGAUUCACCGAGUUGGUUGUCUAGUUCCGCCAGCGUGGUGGCCCGCUUUGGAGCGACACUAAGUCAGCAGUAUACACUCGGUCUAGGCUCCAUACUUUACACAGAUUGCUCUGACUGUUGCGGUCCAGGUGCCGAAGCUAUCUGAAGCAAAGCUUUUAAAGCCUCUGCCUCACGUCGCAUACGAUCAGGAGUCUGAGCAAGUUGUGAAUGGCAAACAACGCCUUCCUCAAAGGCCCACAAAGCUCGCAUGAUGCGGCAUUAACAUAUUCUUUACAGCUUUCUUUUUUCUUGCUUUGCCGACACCUCUAGUUUUACAUUUCCAUCAGUCCCAAGAGCUUUCAUGUUCUUUUUCUUACUGCCCACCGGACGACUUCUUUUUUCUUACUUGGGCUGCUUGUGCGGCUAUAAUAGCAGCAAACCCAGAGUUGUUGCAUUAAUGUUGUGCCUGCCAAUAGCAAGAUUGAGUCGAGAUCGUUUUGGUGAGAUAGAAUCCCCACCAAUCCUCUUCCUUCUUUUCCCAGUAACAAGAAAGUUAUCCAAUUGAGGCUCAUCUCCCUAAUCACCAAUUGCUUCUUAUCUUUCUGUGGCAGGAAAGAAGCUGAAGCCAAUGCACUUGUAGCAAAAUUUCCAGUUGCAAAAGUAGGUGCAAUUACAGAGGGUACUUGUGCUUUGAAAACCAUGUUUUGUGCAGCAAAUGUCGAGGUCGACCCGAGGCAGCACUACCUACACACUAGAAGCUUUAAGCGCUGCCUUGCCGGCUGCCUCCAAUGGUGUUCCUGUGCAUGGUAAUCCAACAUGAGUUAUUUAUCCACAAACACCACAUUUCCCAAAAAAUUUAUCAUACUUGAAUUGUAUGAUUUUUUCACUCCAUUGUCUAAGCAAAACAACCUCUCUAGCAACAAGGGUUGGCCAAAUUCGAUCUCAACCCGAAUCUUCAUAAUCUUGUUCUUACAUGCCGGCUUAUCAAACUCUUUCAUCUCUCCUAGUGUGCUUCCAACCAUAUGCAUGAGUCUUUUCGAUCGAUAAAGAAAAGGAACCUUCAACAAAGUUAUCCAAUAUGAGGAUUUGAUCAAGGAGACAGUCUCCACAUCCUUGAUACCAUCAUAACCGGCCAACGCAACAUGUGCGUGAUUGAAACCCUAAGGACCUCCCUUCCAAACCCAAGAUUUAUUGUUUGGAUCCGAGAAAGAGAAGAACAUCCUUUGUCCUUCAGUAAGUUGAACCUUAAACUUACCAUUCAGUUAUCAGGCCAUCUUAAACAUUCUCAUGAAGGAUAUGCGAUUAAAAUCGUGUGCAGUGAGCAGUUUCCCCACCAAAAACACCUUCGCUUGACGGAGACCUUUCCCUUUUGACGGUCUAAAAUCCAUCGCCUUCUUCCCCCAUUCCAGAGCCAAAGAGGAUGCAAGCCUUGCAGCCAUGGCAUUGAUAUCCUCUAUUGAAUGGGAUAAUGGAGUUGCUUGCUAAAUUUCGUCAAAACUUUUACCCUAGGAGGCUAGAGAGAGUUCGACAACUCUUUUAGUUCAGCUACGACAUCUUUCUCGUAUUUUGGUUGAUAAUGUCAAUCUCAUUAUGUUUGCUACUAGUGCGUAAUAUUUGUUCUAGCUUAACCACUGCUACUCUGCGAGCAUUAUGUUUUCAUUCAUAAGUUCUUAUUUCUAUUGAGAAGAUCAUAUUCAUAACUACGUCUUGCUACAUAUGUAAAGAACAAAUCAGAAAUAUAAUUAAGAGCUAUUACUUAAAUUUCAUCUAUAGUAGAUCUAGAGAAGGAAAACAUAAAUUGGCAAUUUAAGCUAUCCUAAUGUUUAUUGAGUCCGGAUUAAGGAACACUUUUUUUGACACAAAGUUUGACACUUCUUUACGGCCCUUAGAUAUAAGAACAUUCAAUGGCUAUGAUUAUUGUUUUAAUGACAUGACAUAUCUAAAAUUACUCCUAACAAAAAUAAAUUUAACUAAUAGAUUUUGUUUUCUUUUAUAAUUAAAACAAAGAAAAAAAAAAGCCGAGAUUAGAACAAGAAAAAUACAAGAACAAGAACUUGUCUUUUAAAUAGAGGAUUAGGCGAUAUUAGCUCGUUUGUAGUAACCAACGCGCCCUGCCACAUUCCUAAAAGAAAUGGGGUUACUACAACCAGGAGCCCACCGCCCAUCCCUCUAAAUGUUACUUUUGAAUAAGAAAAUAGUACAAGGGGCGGGGUGUAGCCUGACUAAUAUUGAACAAAAAUAAAACAUUGAUACAAAGAAAACACACGGCGGGAAUAACAGUUAUGUUUUUUGUUCACCGGGUGCUCCACCUUUUACAUAACCUAUCAAUCAGCUUGGGGAAGUCAACUCAGCUCAAUUUGAUUAUGGUGAGAAGCCUUCAAGUAUGGAGGAAGGGGAGUUCACUCUAGGUAUGCCUCAUCAUAGGCCGGGCUAGGGCCAACCCUACCCUAAAUUUUAGGGCUUAGGGUUGGGCUGGGUAGGGCUUUAACUUGGCCAACAAAAUUUACAAGCCCUUACCUGUCCUUAAAGCCUAUUUGGUUAGGACUCAAAAGGGCCAAAUAAGGCCAAAUUGGUUGAAUACGACGUUAUUUUGUUUAACAAAAUAAAUUCAUUAGUUUUAAUUUUUUCUUUUCUAAAAAAUUACCUCAAGGGAUAUAUGUGAUACAAGACCCUAUUUUUAGUUAUUUUUAACAUACAUAUACAUUAUAAAUUUUAUUAACACAUUCUUAAUUACUAGAUACACAUCACAUACUUACACCUAUUAACUUUAUUAUUUUAACAUUUUACUACAUACAUAUACCCAAACUUCAUACAAUACCCUCAUUUAAAAUACACAACUUAUUCACUAAAUACACAAACCAUUCACUAAAUGCACAUACUUUUCUAGAUUUGCUCCUCAAUUAUUCAAAAAAAAAAAUCUCAUUAGUAAGAUUUUUCUCAAAAUGUUUCAUCUUUCCUCACACUAAAAUUUAAAUUGCCAACUUCAAAUUAUACUAUCUAUGUGACACCAUGACCUUAAAUUUACAUGAAUAAAUAAACAAAUUUAUCCUCAAAUACUACCACAAUUUGUAGAACAACUUGAUCAACAAGCAAAAUCUAUAAUCAUCAAUCAGUCUUUCAAAACAACACCGAAAUCAACAUUAGCAUUAACCCAACAAUACCCAUAAUACAGAAUCAGAUUCACUGUCCAAAUUAUUGAAAAUUUAUUUACUUUAGGUAACGUCGGGUUUACCUUUUUAUCUCUAACCACAACUGAUCGACGAGUUGUCGAUUUAUAAUAUCAUUCGACUCGAUUUCUCACAUGACGAACCGAAUAGCAACGAUGGCCAAUUGAUCGCCAUUCGACUAAGGAGUCGGACACCAACAAACUUAGAGAAAAGGCUUUGGAGGUCGGUGUGAUCUUCGAUCCUCUCACUCCUUGUCUAGAGAACUCGGGAGAUACCAUAUGUAUCUCGAUUCAGGUUGUUAGGUCCUUCUUCUAGGUUGAGGAUGUUGGACUCUCCUCAAAGGAUCCAUCCUUCAGUCCUUCUAUUCCCCAGAGAGAGAGUGAGAGACGUAUCCCCCGCACUUUUCCUUCUUCCCUUCCAGAAACCCCUAGCUUCCUGCUCUAAAAAUGUUUCUAAGUUCGUGAUCAUUAAAGUCGAGGAUGCACGUGCUAUCUCGAAAAUCCUCAUCCUCUUUCUCACAUCUUCUUGACCCUUCCAAAUCUCUUCCUCAUUCAUUUUCUUUCCUUUUAUUUUAUUUUUAUAUAUAUAUUUUUUAUUUUCUUUUAUUAACCCUUUUCACUAAAUAAUUAUUCAAACUUGUAAUAAAUAUUAUAAUAAUACGGGGUAUUACAAUCUAAUCAAAUAACAAACCUUAAAAUCUAAAUUUUGUAGUAAAUCAAACUAAUCAAAGACGAUGAAGUCAUACCACGCUUAGGGGUUGAGAAAUACCACUAUAAUCCAUUACGUUGUCUUCAGUUUUUGCUUAAAACUAUGGUUGUUCAUGAUAAAUGUCGCUAGCUAUUUUUAAUUAGGGCUUGGUAUCUUCACACAUGGUGUUCUCAAAAAGGAUAAAAAAAACUCUUAAGCGAGAUAUUUUAUUAAAUUUCUUUACUUUUGAUAUGAAUGUCUCUUUUGGUAAUUUUACCCACCAAGUCGGCAAGUCUUAUAUAAUUUGUAUAUAAAAAAAAUGUACAUAUAUCAUUUGGGGAUGUGUUAAUAAAAUUUAUCUACAUUAUAUUUAACUUAAGACACUUAUAUUUAUUAAUCCAAGUAGUUAUAUUCAUAUAUCUCAUUAACUAUCUCUCUAAAUCACCAAAAAUCAAGGAGAAAUUUUUAGAUGUUACAGGAGGACCACGUGGCAAUAUGACGUGGUCCUACAUUUCAAUCAAAUAUUAAUACAUGGAUUUAUUACAACUAAAAUAUAAACUAAGGUUUUCUAUUUGUUGUGAAAUGACCUUCAUGGGUCUUUGUUGAGUUUGGACUAGGGUUUAGGGUUUAGGGUAGGUUUAGGGUUUAAGGGUUAGGGGUUAGGGUUUUGGGUCUAAGGUUUAGAGUUUAUAGUUUAGGGUUUAAAAAGCAACAACAAACCCAAAUCGUCUUUGACAAAAUAGUUGAUGUAAUUUUUCUUUAAUAAAAUCCAUGUGUCAAUAUUUGAUUGGAAUGUAGGAUCACGUUAUACUGUCACGUGGUCCUCCCGUAGCGCUAAAAAAUUUCUCAAAAUCAAGGGUGGUGCUAUUAACACACCCCAUCUAGGAUGAUUUUUUUAGAAAUGAAAUGAAAGGAUUUCAUUAAGGGACGAUGCCCAUACCAGCCCAAACUAGGGUCUAAUCCGAUUACAUGAAACUAAAUGGAUUAAUUCGCAACUACUUCCGCACAGAAAUAACAAGAGCAAAUAUUACCAUGACUAAAUUACAAUUGAAAACUAAGGGCCAAAGAAACAAGCCCAAACCAACGCAGAAAACCUAGCUGUUGCAUGCCAUCACCCUCAUCGACCACAUAGAGCAGCAGCAACCGAUGAGUCGCCAUAAGCAGUAACUAAGAAAUUUCAUAUCGUUUAGCCGAUAAAAAAAAAAAUACUCUUAACACAAAUUAGAAGUAACCCAACAAUCCAAGCAUCAUCUUUUUCAUCCAAAAGACCUAAACCAAGAGAGUGGCGUGACUGGGGAAAGAGGACCAAGAACAAGAGCCGAGAACCAAAACCAUAGAGAAUGGGGGGUGGUGAACCCAUGCGUGAGCACCCAUACUCAAAUCGGUAAGUGCUUUGCACUUUAUCAUCGCAACCACCAAAGCUUUCAUGGAUUUUGGAAUUGAGAUGAGAAGAACUGAUAUGGGAUUGAUAUGAGAUUGUUUGACAUAGAUUACAAAAGAAAAUGAAAGAUGAGAAACAAGUUCCUCCCGAUCUGAACGAAGUCCGAAUAUUGUUGGACAUAGCCAAAUUGCUAGACAUAAGCCAGAGAUAGCCACAAAGGGGAAAAAUCAUCACACAUGUGAGGGAAGAAACAAAAAACUGUUGAAAAUGAUGAAAAGGGACCUCCCCCAACCCUUAAACCCUUAAUCUAGAUCCGGAAAGGACCAAGUAUUGGGGCAGAAGGGAAGGGGGAGGGAAAAUUUUCUUAUAUCUACUUUCUCUCUAAACCCUAAACCCUAAAAAUUCUGGGAAAGCCACAACACUUCCGCUGACCAUAACUUCUGCAUACGCAGUCUGUUAAUGUGUGUCAUGUGUCUAUGAACUCGUAUCGUCAUGCUCUACAACUUAGAAGAAGGAAGUUUUAUGAGAAAUCCAAUGGAUAAAAAGUCAACUCUAUGACCCUUAAAGAAAAUAGAACCGUUUCGGGUAAUUUAUGCGUUCGAACACUUCCGCUCUUCCUUCGAACCUAAAAAACACACUAAUUUCUAACUCGAAAAUUCCCAAAUAAUAUUAGAAACUAAUAUCGAAUUUCCAGGGCAUUACAAAGUUGGUGGUGCGGCUGCCACUGGCCUUGGUGCAGUGUUUAUGGGCGCAAGCCCGAGUCUGGUGAGAAGGUCUGGAGUCCCCGGACUUCCAACGACGGUGGGAGGUGACUUGGCGCAUUUAGAGGCCAUGUUGCCCGAGUAGAUCAAAUCUGGUUUCGUCGGGUCUCUAAAGUGCCAUGCCUUGUGGAUUCCGAUUAGGGGUGGAGGCCCAAUUGUGGUGCUAGCUAACGUCGUUAAGUUUAGAGGAGUCAUCGGUCACCUUGGUGGCUCCCUGGUUAUUGGCAGAGGAUGCAGAGGAGGCUCGGUGGUGAGUGUCGGUGUCGGUGCCCGCGGUGGCUGCUCCAAUCUCCUCUCUUUGGUUUUGGGUUUUGGGCCUACAUUGAAGGUCAGGUUGUUGUGGGCUCUGGACAUGCGAACAGAUUUUGAGUCAGUUGAUGAAUAGCUAUGCUACUGUUGUCUUGGAGCCUGGUCCCGUUACACCAUCUCAGGAGAUUUCCUCUAUGUAGGUUGACUCCGGUUUCUAAUGAAUAAGUCGGAGGAUUUUGACAAUUACAUUUUAUUGAUCAUAGGGCCUAUUUUAAGGGUUUGCAACAUAAAGAUGACUGAUGUCAUGUAUGUCGUUUUGCGCAAUUCGAUUUUUUUUUAAACGCAAUUUGAUAUUUACCUAACCUGUGAGGGUACGGUGAAUUAUAUUCAUGUUGUACUUCUACAUUUUAUUUGAUCAAUAAUAUGACUUCGCAUCCUUGGUUAAAAAAAAAAAGUGCGUCUAUUGUCACCCCACAAACUAUUUUGCUCACCCCAUGCACGUUCUUUUCACACCUCACUUAUAUUUUUUAAUUGUAAGUAUAUUUUGUUCACCCAUUUACAAUACCUAAAAUACCAUUUUCUCAAUUCUCUUUAUUCACCCUACAUUCUUUUCUCACCCUGCAUAUAUUUUUUCAAUUUCAGAUUUGCUCUGUUCACCAUACAUUAAAUUUCUUCUCACCCCGCAUAUAUAUUUUUUUAAUUUUGAAUUUAAUUUAUUCAUCCAUUUGCAAUACACAUAAUAUCAAGCUCUUCCAAUAGCAAUUGAACUCCAAAAACAAAAAGAAAUUGAAGAAAACCAUAACAUUAAUAUCAUUUGGGUAAGUGAAAUCACCAACUUAACAAAAAAAUCAUAUUAAAGUAUAAAUCUCAAUUAAAGAACAAGAAAAAACUCUCAAAUUUAACUCAUUAGUAUCCGUCGAUGUCAAGAUGCACAAUGUUUGUAAAUGUAUCUCUACUUGAAAAAAGUUCCGACGCCGAUGAAAAAAAAAAAUCAAAUAUAAGUGAGCGACUAAACAUGAAAAUUUACAUACAAAAUCGACUUAAGUGAGUGUAUUUGGGAGCUUUAUUUGAGUUAAGAAUGGAUUGUGGGUGAGCUUGUUGUGAUUGAAGGUUCCAAAACUGGGCAAUAGACUUCGCAGAAGUGGAGAAAGAGAAUGAUGGAGAUGAUUCUCGAUCAAGAAGGGAAACUGAGAAAUAUUAUUUUUGCUUUUAGUUUAGAAGGAAAAAUAAUGGACAGUAACAGAGUUAGAGUCGUGUUAAAUUUUAUUACGUGGUGUUUUAUGUGUCAGUUGCUUAUUGAUGAUACAGGGUUGGCACUGAGAAAUUCGGAACAGGUGAUUUUUCUUCAAAUAAUUUAUAGGGUGACAAUAGACGCACCAGAAAGAAACGAGAUGUUAGAAUUAAUAAUAAAUAAGCAUUUUCCUCUUUUUUUUUUUUAGAAUAAGACAUUUUCCCUUUGAAUAUCUCUAAAUAUAUAUAAAAAUGUGCCGGACCCUUCUUCCGAAAACAUAGCAUUACAGCAAAAACCUGUUUAGUUUCGUUUCCGGUUUUCCGCAAAUCCAUCAAUAAAACAAAACAAACCAAAAAGGAUAUCAGAUCAGAUUCUGAAACAAAACCCAUCGAUCUCAGCUAUGGUAUGUUCCAUCCCUAAGUCUUUGAUUUUCCGCUUGUUGCAGCUUCGAUUUUGUAUCUCUCUCUCUCUCUCUCUCUCUUUUUCUUCUUCUGUUCAUUACCUCCUAUAUUCGAGGCUAUGGCUUUUAGAAUUGUGAAUCUGGGAAUUCUAUUUUCUAUGAGAUUUCGGUGUCUUCUAGUUCCCAAUCGUGUUUUGAUUGUGAAAAUCUCUAAACCAGAACCGACCAAGUGUGCUCAGAUUUUGGAGGUCUUUCCGUAUAAUUUAUGAAAAAUGUAAAAUAACUCAGUCAUAUUUGAUCAGAAAAGUUGUGGAAUUUCAUGCUCUUUGUUUUGUAGUAAUGCCUUGCAGUUGUUCUAAACCAUAAAGCAAUGCUUCUUUUCAUUAACUCGUAAAAAUAAAAAAAUAAAAUAAGUGGAGUUUGAGAAUAUAUGUACCUGUUAUUCAUUAUUGAUUAUUAGCAAUACUAGGGUUCAAGGGGUACUUGAGCUCCCGACCUCAGGUGAUGGGGUAAAUGCUUUACAUUAUUAGAACUACAAGUCCCCACUUAUAUGGGACUGUUUGAAAGAAAAAUAUCGAUUUUGAAGUCGUUUAGAUGAUAAAGUUAAUAUAAGUUCUGUUAGUGUAGUUAAAGUCCCCAGUUAUGCAUUGUUUUGUUUGAUGAGAAACGUUUUGUUUUUGGAAAAGUUACAUCCAUAGUGUGGAUGCAACAACAAAGAGAUUUCAAAAUUGUCAGGGGUGAGGAACUGGAACCCCUGUGGCAUAAAGCGUCCUUUUUUGUGGGCCUUAACGGCCUCAGAGUCUUGGGAGGUGCAGUUAGUCCUUAUGGUGCAGAUUAAUAUUGGCCUUCUCUUUUGACCCUCUUAUAUUUAGCUGGGUUGUUUUCUGUUUUAUACUUUUGCUCAUGGUUGUUUAGUCACUGUGUGCAUUCUUGUGUGCAUUGUGGUUGACAGCUAGUUCACUAUGAUAGAUUUACUUUCUUUCUGAUGUAGUGAAAUAUGUGCAACUAAUAUAUUUACAUAUAUACAUUUUGAAGAUAGUUUUGUAAAAUGAUACGAAAUUCAGUCAUUCAUCUGAACAUAGGGAGCACCGUUAUGGGAUCAUUUUCUUUUCUUUGUUCAUAGAUUUGGUACCUGCAUGUAUAUGUGCAAUGUGCAUUCCAUGAGUUAGAGUCAGAGUGAGAAUGGGAGAGAAAUAAAGCACCGGGGGGAAGGGGAUGAAGAACCAUAAAAAAUGAAAUGAUAUUAAUAUUUCUUGGAUCGCUGAUAGAUUAGAUUGUGUGGUUUAUCUUAUGUUUUUGUCAAUGUGUACAGGCUGCUAAGAUCCUUGCCAACUUAAUUGUGAUGGGUUCUGGUAUUCUGGCAAGGGCCGUAGUUCAAGCAUAUCGUCAGGCACUUGCAAGUAAGUUUUCUCUUAUCAUUGUAUCUCAAUUAUGACUUGCAGCUCUGUAUACUUUUUUUCAUUAAAUGUAGAUGAAUGAUAAUUGAUCCUUUGCAUUAUUCUCUUUUACUGUUAUAGUUUGUUUUGAAGGUUUUGGCUCAUGUAAGUAUGUUUGUAGGUCAGAGAAUUAUUCAAAGUUGUAUCUAUCAGUGGUAACUGUUAAGUGAUAAACCUGGUACUGGUUCAAUCAUCUUUCCUUGUCAAAAUUUCAAUAAAACACAUUAAGUGCAUUUGUACGAACUUUCUGGUCUAGCAGGCCAUUGAGUGUGCCAGAUGCAAGACGUCUUUAAUUUUUAGUUUAUUAAUGUCAAACGCUUUGGGUAGUUACUGUUUUACAAUCACUAUCUGCUUUGUACUGCCAUGAAGCAAUCUCUUUCAAAUAUGUGAACAAAAGUAACAGAACUUCCUUCUAUUAGUUGGCAUUCAGGUUUUUUCAGUUAUUGACACAUCCAUUAAAAAGUUUCUAUAUAUUUCUAAUGGUUUGGGUGUCUUCAUAGUUCACUUUCUGGAUCUUGAGAUGGGUUGCACAGCCAAAUAUUUACCUCUUGGUACUUUUACCUUGAGGGUGUGAUUAGAUUAUUUAACUUUUGGGUUGCAUAGGCGUUGUGCUUCAAAUGCUCUAGCUAUGUGUUAAGCUAUGCUGAAUAGUACAUAGCGAUACAUGGGCUUAGAAUUGAACCUAAAUUGUUUGUUGAAUUGCCAACAGAGCAUAUUUUGAAGCUGUUUCUUUAAUUACAAUGAAAAUAAAUAAACUGAUAUCUUUUUAAAACAUCACUCAUUUUGUGUUCAGUCCACCUGUUUAACAGAUUCGAGACAUAAUUAGUUUAAGUGGACCAUUUUUAUAACUAUUAAGCAAACAUGUUAUAAAUAAAUAUAAUGUGCUUUUAAAUUGUCAAAUAGUAAACCAUACUGAAUAAUGGAGAAAAAUUAUUAUAUUAAUUGACAUGGUAGAUUAGCAUAAUUGAUGUACCCAAAUCAAUUAUUCACUUAUUUAAUAAAACAUCACUCACUUAAUUGAUGUACCCAAAUCUGGAAGCAAUUCCUGGAUGGUCGCCCUAUAGUAGAUUAGCAUACUAUAUAGAUAACAGUUAACACAUUCAUUGUAAUCUUAUAAAAUCCUGAUUGCAAUUAUACUGCUUGUCAUGAUCCAUAUUAGUUAACUUGGCCCUACCCCAGCCACGUUGAUCUGUGUACCAGUCACGGACUCACGGAUGAUCCAUUCAGACUCUCUAGGUAUAAUCUCAAUAAAACAUCAUACUGUUCAAAACUCAAUAAGACAUCAUAGCUUACCAGCCGGAAAAAGAAAUAAGAAAGCAUCAUUUGGAGACACUACUUUAGCAGCAACACUAAACACAGAAUAUCUAUUUUGCUCUUUAUUUCGCAUUGUUGGGUGGAGUUGAGUGUUGUACAUGACUAUUGACAUGGGAGAAUGAGAAUGUAGUCUCACUUAGAUGUGGUAAAGAAAUUCCUGAAUCCUGAUAUGCCCAUACUGGAUCCUUACCCAACAAGGCUGCAAACAUUGAUCUUCUAGCUUUCUCUCGCUCUCCAAAGUCUAGCAGAGUACUUUUCUUAUCAUUUUUAACUGCACCACCAUACAUAAACAACAAUUGUCAACUUAGCAGUUAGCAACCACAUUUUGUCAGUUCUAUCUUAUCUGCACACUGUUACAUUGGAUUCACCUCAACUAAUCUCCAUUCUAUAUGAGUAAGAAAGGGUGUCCUGUUCAUGGAUCAGUGUGCUGUGGUUUCCCUGAUUUGAGCAUUAAAACCAAUAAAACCUUCUCCUGUCCCAGAUUAUUAUUGUUAUUAUAUUUUCUUGUUUAUUUUUAAUUUUCUUGUUUAUUUUUGCUUGGUGACCGUGCACUGUUGUUCUUAAUUAGUUUUUUGCUGCACAAUAUUUUGAACUUUGAAUGAUUCUUAAGUAUAACAAUGUUUCACUUUAGACAUGUAUUGACAUUCAGUGCAACUGCAUAAACUUGGGAACAUAAAAUCUAUAAUAGAGGAUAGUAUGUAUAUGUCCUUAAACUUAUAGCUUAGUCUGUAAACUUACAUGCCCAAAUUACUUUUACCAACAACUAAUGGUUGAUAAAAUUUGCAAUGAUUUCUGCAUUCGGGUUAACUUAUGGUCAGCAUUGUGAGUCUCUGCAAAUCUCAAGGGGAUUUCAUAUCAGCUGGUUUGUGAUAGUUGUUUGCUGUACUAUGCUAGUUCUUUCCUGACUUUAACUUCGUUGUUAGAUUAGAAAUGAGGUCAUAUUGUUUCUUAACGGGCAUCUAUCAAAAUUAUCACCAUUUCAUUUAAGGAAAAAGAAAAUAUGCAUGUACAUAUUACCGAGAAUACUGAUUCAUACUUACUGAAUGAGAAGUUUUCUGGUGCUGUAUCCGGGGGCUACAUUGCUAUGACAUCUUUUAGUCACAUGUCUGUUCUUUCUUCCUGGUUUAGACUUGAUUUUAAGGAUGUUGUGUGAGUGUUGGAUCUGGUAGCAAUGAAAAUUGAUUCCAACUUUAGAUGUCUAUACAGUAUUAAAUCAUCUGUGCUAUCUUGCAGAUGCCUCGAAAUCUGGUGUUGCUCAAGAAACACUACAAAAUGCUGCUCGUAGAGCUGGCAAAGUCAUGACAGAGCAAGAAGCUAGGCAGAUUCUUGGUAUCUCAGAGGAAACUACUUGGGAGGAAGUCUUGAAGGCAAGUAUUUUUCUUUUUUCAUUACUUUCAUCUUGGUAUCCCUCUCAUAUACACGUGAAUAGGAUUCUCAAACACACUUCCUAAACCUGCACAGAAAUACGAUAGGUUAUUUGAAAACAAUGCCAAGAACGGGAGCUUUUACCUUCAGUCAAAAGUUCACAGGGCCAAGCAAUGUUUAGAAGCUGCCUAUAAAGAUAAAGGUCAAGGGACCCCUACCCCAAGUUGAGAGUCCUUCAUUUCUUUCGUCCAUCUAUUAAUUGUAUUAUUAGGUCAGAGGUCUGAGGAACAAGCCUGAAAGAUAUAGAAGAUUGAGAAUGUAUAUGCACAUGUUGGUUUAGAUCAUCGCCAUUCUGAAACAUCUGUCUGUUGAAGUUGUAUUUACAUACAUGCCUAUUUCAUCAAUGAUACACAUACCACAUAGCAUAGUGGUUGGCUUGUAUGCAAAGUGGUCUUCAAUGGAGGGCUUGAUUUCAUGGGUGGCCAAUUUGUCUGUCAAUAUAAGAAACCAAAACCAUUCCUUAGUAGUAGUAUUUUUUUUUUUUUUUUCUAUGCAAACCUUUAUCAAUAAGUGAUUCAUUAACCGAGUGAUCAUGUUUGUGGUACGAAAGAAAAAACAUAUUGUUCAUCAUGAAGUUUGGCCAGAAGGCCUUUUUUUCACUGAAACAAGUCACCAAAAGUGGAUUUAUCCCAUCUAGAGGCCAAAAUCUAAAAGAUGGAAAAGAAACUGUUGUAAAGGAGUACCCUGAAAAUUGUUGCUUGCAGACGCAAAAACAACCAUCAUGUUUUAACCACAGCAUCCAAUUUGAAAAUUUGUUUUAGCAAUCAAGGAAUCAGUUUUAAGAUUGCCCACAAUGGGAGCAUGAAAAGAAUGAAAAACAGGUAGAUUAGUGACACUUUUUGUAGGUCGAAAAGAUUAGUGACACUCAGACUAGGAUAUCUUGGAAGACAAUCAGAGUCUACAACAACUCUGUCUAGUUUUUCAUUACAAGUGGUUCAUGUUUAUUAGACCAAAUGAGGGAAAUCACUACCCCCAGAAGAAGGGAGGAAAAUCAGAUUACGCUUGUUCAGAAUAGAAGCAAAAUUUAUCAUAUAGUUAGUGACCGUUCUCACACCUCUUAUGUUUUUCAGAAAUACCAAGAAUACAAUUGAAAUCCCUAGCAUGAUACAUGGUUCUUUCAUCAUUGAUAGGAGUGGCUAAUUUAUCCCAAAGAGAUGAUUGUUGAAUUUUUUGAGGGGUCAUAGAGAGAAAAAUUGCCAAAAUUUAAUUUUGCAAGUGAGACAACAAUGAAGAAACCGAGAAUGCUCAGUAGUAACAUUAAUACAAACUGUAGCUCCAUUCCAACAAAUAAACAUGCCAACUGAUUGUCCAGAAGGAGGAACACAUUCAAAAUUAUCAAAAAGGUACCCUAGAAAUUAUGAAAGGUAUAAAUAUAUUAUUAAGCCUGAUUGAGAUACCUUUACUUUUGUAGUAUCUUUCGGAUUAUCUUAAUGAAGAACAUAACACAACACAACUUUUGUAGUUUAACAUUCAAGCAUCAAAUCCAAAACUAGCAUUCAUAUAUCAACUUGUUCCCUCAUAAAUACCUGAACCUCUCACGCCUCUAAUUUCAUUAGCCUCAAAGCUCCUCUAUAAUUUGACCACCACACCAACAUUGCUCCUCAAACCUUCGAAAUCAGACCCUUCCCAAUUACCCAGUUUGUGUUUUUGCUUUGUUAUUAUACCUUCAUAUCAAAUCUUGAAACUUUCCAUGACAGAGUUUCGUUCAAGUGUCCCAGAUUGGUAUUAUGCAUGUUUUUUAUUCAGAAUGAAUCUUCAUGGCCUCCGCCAAAGAAAUUUAUGCUCUGCUCCCUCUACUCUGUUACCUGUUCAACUCCCAACUCGAAUGUAUGUACUUACUACACAAUGUUCGAAUGUAGUGACUGCUUUGCUAGAUUUUCAUCUCAGAAAUUGCGGGUUUAUAGGGAAAGUCAUGUGUGGUAUGUUUUACCUGAGGAUGUGAAAAGUGACUGAGUGAGACCCUUUUGAAACGCUGCUCUCACCUUGUGAGAAGAAAAAUAUGCUGCGAAUGCGCGGGGUGAGCUCCAAAAGAUAGCCUUGCGGCCCGAGCGUUGGUUCGGACUACCGUUGCUAGAUAUGUAUUAAUGUAUGUGCUCUCAUUUUGUUUAUGCAAGUAGAAUAUGGCUACUUGUUUUGUAUAUGUGGUUGGAGCGGAUCGAUAUCUAAACAUUGUUGUUGAAUACUAGAUCAGACAAAUGAUAGAGUUGAUCCGAGAUCAUUGAACUUUCAAAAGAACGGUUAUGGGAAGCCUGAGGUAUGUUUUCUUUUCUUACCAUUGAUGCUUUAAUUGCUAUCUGUUUGUUUCUGAGUCCCUUUUGCUUUGUGGGCGCGCACUUUGUAAUCUUUGUUAUAGCAUAUGUGAGUAGGUAGAUUGUCAAAUUGAAGAUGAUUGGCAGCCACCAGCGUUGCAUUUCAACAUCUCACGCACUUCGUCCUUGAUAGCUUGUGGAGUAGCCGCUGAUUCACCUGUUAAGUAUUUGGAGCACUCAAGGCGCCAGAACUUUUUUGAAUUCAUCUAGAAUCUUAUGUGUAGAUAAUUCAAGUACAUCUGUACAUAUAUAAAAUAUGGGCAUGUCGUUGGUGAAGAAAUAAUGUUUUUGACCUGAUGUGAUUUGAUUCUGUAUUAACAGAUUGGCAUUGAUGUGGAAGAGAAGCAGCGAAAGUUGAAGCACCAUAUUCUAGCUUUUGCCAGACGCUACUUCUCUUCUCAUGAAGUGGAACAUCUAACUUCUAUUGAAAUUCAGCGGCAUCAGUUCAUUAAAUUAUGGACUCUCAAGGUAUGUUAUUGAUAAUACAUUGAGUUAGACUCCAAUACAUUCCGAUAGUUGUAUGAAAUCGAAUAAUAUAAAUAUGGGUGUAUAUGGGAAAUUCUAAACUGUCUAUGUUUAUUAAAAGCUUUUGUGCACCCACAUCGGUAAUAAAUAACCACUUAAGCAUUUUCUUCUGAUUCUGAGAAAUCGAUGCUACUAUGAAAUAGAUGUAUUAAGGUUGCAUUUGAAUAUGAUUAUAAUAUUAUAUGACCAAUGAAAAUGGGUGCUUUGGAUUUAUCUUUAAUUAAUUUAAUAUUAGGUAAGUGUGAUUUCCAAUUCACUUGUCUAAAUCCUUUACCUGUAAGAGUUUUCUUUGUUGUCUGCAGAAAAUAGUAUCAAAAUGCCCUGAAAAAUGCGCUUAGGUUCUCUCUGUUAGUCUGUUUAUUAUUUUGAUUCAUGUCUUUAUGUUUUUUCUGAAGCUUUUUCUUCUUACCAUGGAUCUCAUAUAAGAGGCAUAUGUGAAAGCAUUGGAGAGGGGCUUCUCGGCUUCACCUUUUAAGACCUUUACCAUUAGAUCAAGGCUGCAGCUGAGAGAGGCAUUCCUCACUCUGAGAGGGGCUACUCGGCUUCACCUUUUAUUGUAAUAUAGUGAGGCAUCCAUAGUUGUUAGUGUGAUGUGGAGUCAACAGCUAAGCAUGGUUGUUUAGUAAGCUACGAUUUGGGGUUGAGAUUGUUGAGCAGGUAUCAAGUAGUGUAGAAGCACUAUGGUUGACUGAUUGUUUCAUUGUUCUAGAUUUUUAAAUGCUCACUUACACUAAGAUAUUCAACUGCCCUAGACAGAUUACUUCUGGUCUAGACUCUAGAGUGUUGACAUUCCGAUAUGUUUUAGGUAUCUGAAAUAAGCCUAGAGUCUUUUGGCUCCGAAGACAUUGCGAACACUGGAAGUAUUUGCUUUAAAGUUGGCUGGUUCCCAUUAUGGUGCCAUUUGCAAUUUUGCAUGGAAAAACACAACACUGUAGGUAUAUUUCCUUCUCUCUCUCUAUCUAAGAGAAUUUUUAUUCUUAUUUACUGUAUGGAUUAAUUGAAAUGAAUAGGUCAAAAAGGUUGUCACAUUUGUAUUACUUUAUGCAGGAGGAAGAAAUUUUCCCAUAAAUUUGACAGCACGAAUAACGAUCCAACUUGUUGAAGAUGAAUGUGAAGGUACUGAUGCUGUUGUACGAAUAGGUGAAUUGACUUAUUAAUUGUUUAUAAGUGAUUCAAUCUUUCAUUUGGAACACUAUGAAAUCAUGCCAUCGAUAAGCACUUAAUAGAAAAAUUCUUCUUUCUUUGAGCAGUGUAUCCAUCACAAAUCUCUCAUCACUGGUAGCAUGGUGGAGAAAUGCAACUUUUUUUCCUCUAUAGUGCAUGACCAUACAAUAUAGAUAACAGUUGACACAUUUCUAGUAAAUCUGAUGAAUCCUGAUUGGAAUUGUAACUGACUGUGAACCUAACCCAGCUACACUGCUCUGCGUACCAGUCACGGAUGACGUAUUCAGACCCUCUAGCAUAAUCUCAAAAAGACAUCAUACCCUUCAGAACUCAAUAAGACAUUAGACAUCACAGCUUAGUGAGCUUACCAGCAUAAUAGAAGAGUACGAAAUCAUCAUUCGGAAAACACAACUUUAGCAGCAACUCUAAACUUAGAAUAUCUGCUUUACUCUAUGUUUUGCAUUCUUGGGUGGAGGGGGGAGGUUCGAUCCAUGAGGAUGAUAUUGUAGUCUCACUUAGGUAUAGAAUACCCUGAUUUUCCUUACUAGAUCCUUAAACAACAAGGCUGCAAGCACUGAUCUUCUAGCUUUCUCUGGCUCUCUAAAGACUUGCAAACAUUUUUUUUCUUGUCAUGUUGCAAGGCUGCACUACUGUAUAUAAACAACAGUUAUUAACUUAGCGACCACAUCUGGUCAGUUCUUUUCUUGUAUGCUUGUUACUUCCUUCUUACGCACCCUGCAAUUACAAUGCAAUUACAAUUCAUUCUUCAUGAGUAAGAAGGGGUGGGCCUUGGUCAUGGAUCAGUUCCCUGAUCUGAGCAUGAAAACCUUUCUCCUGUCCCAGGUUAUUGUUAUCACUGUUAUUGUUAUUUCAUUUUUCUGCUUGAUGACUUGCGGUGGUGUUCUGAAGUAGUUCUCUGCCGCAAUAUUUUGAACUUGUACUGCUUCCUAAGUAACAACAUUUUCCUUUUAAACUUUUUUUUUUUUUUUUUUUUUUUUUUUUGUUUUUAGAGUUAAGUUGUAACCUACUUUUCCCUUUAGACUUGUAUUGACAUAUCGUAGUUUAGUCUAGACUCCAAAAAAAAAAAAUGGAUGUAAAUAAUAAUCUGUCUGUAAACUAAAUGCCCUGAUGGGUUAAAAAAAUUUGCAAGGAUCUUUGCAUUUGGGUUAACUUAUGGUUUAGCAUUGUGAGUCUCUGCAAUAUCUCAAGGGGAUUUCUUAUCAGCUGGUUUGUGAUGGAUGUUUGUUGUACUUUGCUAGUUCACACUUCACAGAGCUAAGGAAUGUUUAAGAAUGGAGUUUAGUAUAAGAUACUUGUGUAACUAGUAUCUGAGGAGCAGUCCUGAAAGAUGGAGAAGAUUAAGAAUGUCUGCACAUGUUGGUUUAGAUCAUAGCCUUUUUAAUACAUAUGUUCGUUGAAGUUGUAUUCAGAUGCCUCUCCUAUUUGCAAAGUGUGGUCUUCAAUGGAGGCUUGGUUCAUGGGUGGCCAAGCUGUCUGUCAAUAUAAGAAAGAUAAGAAUUUCUUGGCCAACUGUGAUUGACAAGGUAAAAGCACAUGUGCCAUUAAUUCUAGGGUGUGGUUUUCCAGUGAUAGAAGAAUUGUGUAAUGGCAUCAUCUUUCCUUAACUAGGUCGACCCUGUAAUGAACGCGUCCUUCUGGCCUGCGAUUUUGUAUGAAAGAAAAAAAAAAAGUAACAUAUUUUCCCCCAAAAAAAGAAGGUGAAAAAGCAUAUACCAUUACUUUAAAUUUCCACACAUUUAAUGUUUUCAUUUCGAAAGAAGGAAAUGAUACAUUAGUAUGUCGAUACAUAGUAACCACCACAUGUGGUUGAGUUGGUAAGAGCCUAGGUGUAGAACCCUCAUACCCAGAUUCGAAUCUCAGUCGACGCUAAUUGGAGUUAAAUCCCAAUUUAUUCUUGGUGGUCAGAGGGGAGGAAGCAUUCUGACAUGAUCCUUCGGCGCGGAUUAGUCUCUGAGUUUAGAAAGCUUUUGAGGAUAUUGUCGUUGAUACACUAAAAAAAAUAUAUAUAUAUGUCGAUACAUAGUAGGUAGGUUGUAGGCUAGGUUUGAUAUAUGGAUAAACUGGCUUUAAACAUGUAGUAAAAUUACUUGACUUGAUCUCAAAUUAAUCUCCUAUGUAUUAAUUUACAGAGCCCUCAAAACAAUAUACCUCUAAAAUGAGAAAUUUUUGUUAUGUUGUCAUUCUUAUUUCACAAUAAAAUCAGAAAUUGUUAACCAAUUUUUUUUGCUCUUGCUUUCUUCUUUCCUGUAUUAUUUACAACACAUCAUGCCAACUUUUCUUUUGUUUGCCUUUUGGUCGCUUUUCACCAAGACACUAGAUUGAUAGAAAGUUGGUUUCAUGGUUAGUUGUAUGCUCUGUAUCUCUUUCCUUUUGGCGCCAAUAAAAGCUGUAACCAACUAGACACCCAAAGAAUUCCAAUAAUAUAAUUGCCUAUUUCUUGUAACUAAUGCAGGCUGGUUCACUUUCACCUAUUUCUUGUGCGCUAAGUAACCAAGCAAGCAAGGUGUUUUUUUUUUUGUUUUUCUUUGUUCUUUCUGAUAGCUAAUUAAAGCAAAUUUAAGAGGAAGAUUAAUGAAAAAUGAAACGAUGACUCACUCAUAAAGCAGAUGGAUGUCGUUAAGAUCAGUACUUCUAGAAUGCAUUGACACGUAUGAUACACUAAUACCUAGUUGGAUUAUAUUUGAUCUCCUAAUGUUUGUUGACCGAAGUAUAUGAAGAUGUAAAAAGUUGUAAAUCAGUAAAUGAAAGACGCACGUACAAAAUAAUAUCUGUCAAGGAAUAUUGUGAUCAUAAUCUCUAUGUACUUGUUAUUGAAACUAUAUACUUAUAUAGGGUUCAAGCUCUUAGCUAGGUUUGUUGAUUCAAGCUGGUGACAAGCAUUGAUCUUCAAUUGGAACUUUUGAAUCAACAUUCUUUAAUGCAAUUAAAAUUUAAACCUCCCAACUUCGAUUCUUUGCAGUUUUAGAGAUUCUCUUUUACCUUUAAAAAAAAAA